UUCCAGACUCCUACGGGAGGCAGCAGUGGGGAAUAUUGCACAAUGGGGGAAACCCUGAUGCAGCGACGCCGCGUGAGUGAAGAAGUAUUUCGGUAUGUAAAGCUCUAUCAGCAGGGAAGAUAAUGACGGUACCUGAGUAAGAAGCCCCGGCUAACUACGUGCCAGCAGCCGCGGUAAUACGUAGGGGGCAAGCGUUAUCCGGAUUUACUGGGUGUAAAGGGAGCGUAGACGGCAUGGCAAGUCUGAAGUGAAAGCCCGGGGCUCAACCGCGGGACUGCUUUGGAAACUGUUAAGCUGGAGUGCAGGAGAGGUAAGUGGAAUUCCUAGUGUAGCGGUGAAAUUCGUAGAUAUUAGGAGGAACACCAGUGGCGAAGGCGGCUUACUGGACUGUAACUGACGUUGAGGCUCGAAAGCGUGGGGAGCAAACAGGAUUAGAUACCCGUGUA
Molecule: ribosomal RNA, 446 nt
Filed under: uncultured bacterium
Lineage: Bacteria
Description: bacterial SSU rRNA
Rfam family: Bacterial small subunit ribosomal RNA
Source: RNAcentral